AGUGAACGCUGGCGGUAGGCCUAACACAUGCAAGUCGAACGGCAGCACAGUAAGAGCUUGCUCUUACGGGUGGCGAGUGGCGGACGGGUGAGGAAUACAUCGGAAUCUACUUUUUCGUGGGGGCUAACGUAGGGAAACUUACGCUAAUACCGCAUACGACCUACGGGUGAAAGCAGGGGAUCUUCGGACCUUGCGCGAUUGAAUGAGCCGAUGUCGGCUUAGCUAGUUGGCGGGGUAAAGGCCCACCAAGGCGACGCUCCGUAGCUGGUCUGAGAGGAUGAUCAGCCACACUGGAACUGAGACACGGUCCAGACUCCUACGGGAGGCAGCAGUGGGGAAUAUUGGACAAUGGGCGCAAGCCUGAUCCAGCCAUACCGCGUGGGUGAAGAAGGCGUUCGGGUGGUAAAGCCCUUUUGUUGGGAAAGAAAAGCAGCAGGUUAAUACCCCGCUGUUCUGACGGUACCCAAAGAAUAAGCACCGGCUAACUUCGUG
RNAcentral lists this ribosomal RNA (492 nucleotides) under uncultured bacterium. RNAcentral describes it as "partial 16S ribosomal RNA". It matches the Rfam family "Bacterial small subunit ribosomal RNA", at positions 29 to 507 of the family's 1533-position model. The record is from RNAcentral.